This 751-nucleotide ribosomal RNA is filed under the name Bacillus amyloliquefaciens. Its description in RNAcentral is "bacterial SSU rRNA". It matches the Rfam family "Bacterial small subunit ribosomal RNA", at positions 38 to 769 of the family's 1533-position model. RNAcentral also lists the same sequence under 1 other name. Lineage: Bacteria; Bacillati; Bacillota; Bacilli; Caryophanales; Bacillaceae. The record is from RNAcentral.
GGCGUGCGGCGUCUAAUACAUGCAAGUCGAGCGGACAGAUGGGAGCUUGCUCCCUGAUGUUAGCGGCGGACGGGUGAGUAACACGUGGGUAACCUGCCUGUAAGACUGGGAUAACUCCGGGAAACCGGGGCUAAUACCGGAUGGUUGUUUGAACCGCAUGGUUCAAACAUAAAAGGUGGCUUCGGCUACCACUUACAGAUGGACCCGCGGCGCAUUAGCUAGUUGGUGAGGUAACGGCUCACCAAGGCAACGAUGCGUAGCCGACCUGAGAGGGUGAUCGGCCACACUGGGACUGAGACACGGCCCAGACUCCUACGGGAGGCAGCAGUAGGGAAUCUUCCGCAAUGGACGAAAGUCUGACGGAGCAACGCCGCGUGAGUGAUGAAGGUUUUCGGAUCGUAAAGCUCUGUUGUUAGGGAAGAACAAGUACCGUUCGAAUAGGGCGGUACCUUGACGGUACCUAACCAGAAAGCCACGGCUAACUACGUGCCAGCAGCCGCGGUAAUACGUAGGUGGCAAGCGUUGUCCGGAAUUAUUGGGCGUAAAGGGCUCGCAGGCGGUUUCUUAAGUCUGAUGUGAAAGCCCCCGGCUCAACCGGGGAGGGUCAUUGGAAACUGGGGAACUUGAGUGCAGAAGAGGAGAGUGGAAUUCCACGUGUAGCGGUGAAAUGCGUAGAGAUGUGGAGGAACACCAGUGGCGAAGGCGACUCUCUGGUCUGUAACUGACGCUGAGGAGCGAAAGACUGCCCUCC